CUACGGAGGGCGCAAGCGUUGCCCGGAAUCACUGGGUGUAAAGGGUGCGUAGGCGGGGCUGUAAGUCAGAGGUGAAAGCCCUCGGCUCAACCGGGGAAUUGCCUCUGAUACUGCAGCUCUUGAGUCCCGGAGAGGCCGCUGGAAUUCCUGGUGUAGCGGUGAAAUGCGUAGAUAUCAGGAGGAACACCGGAGGCGAAGGCGGGCGGCUGGACGGGGACUGACGCUGAGGCACGAAAGCGUGGGGAGCAAACAGGAUUAGAAACCCUAGUAGUCC
RNAcentral lists this ribosomal RNA (274 nucleotides) under uncultured bacterium. Its description in RNAcentral is "partial 16S ribosomal RNA". It matches the Rfam family "Bacterial small subunit ribosomal RNA", at positions 523 to 796 of the family's 1533-position model. The record is from RNAcentral.